This is a long non-coding RNA of Erigeron canadensis, 799 nucleotides long. RefSeq lists it as uncharacterized. The record is from RefSeq and is a predicted model, not a curated record. NCBI's taxonomy places the organism in Eukaryota, Viridiplantae, Streptophyta, Magnoliopsida, Asterales, Asteraceae. The transcript has 4 exons.
AAAUUGGAAAAAAAGAAAAGAAAAAAGAAUCAAUAACAAAAGCACAAAACUAACAAAGACCGAUCGGAUGAUCGUAUUUUUCCUCCUCAAUUCUGCUUUUGAAUAAGGUUGGUACAACUGGAAUCACUGAAAAGAGUUAUGGAGAUCGUUUUGAGGCCUUGCUGCUGUUUUGAAGCUAUGCUGUUGUUUUCGUUGCUCACAAGUCACCGAGUUAUGAAAUUUUUUUCUCUACUAUUUCUUUUUAUAAUGUGUGGGAAUUUUUGCCUUGGUCUACAUACACCAAAGGAACUUUGGGUCAAGACAAGUAAAUUAAGCGCCAUUUGUAGAAAGAGAAAUAAUAGGGAUGAUGUCUAGCUAGAAAACUUCAUGCUGAUCCUUGAACAUGCUAUGUGAAGCAUAUGUGCAAAAAAGUAAUAUCUAAGGAAUGUGUUCGACGAGAAUGAAACAUAUUUAUUUUACUAUGACACUUCCUCAAUCAGUCGUCAAAUACAUUGAUUUAUGAUAUCGGGUAACGCCAACUCCAAGAAGUUCUAAUGAUGUAUCAUCAGGGAGAGAAAUAGAUAUUGCACUCUUUUCUCUUAGUAAUGGUACUUGGCUCCAUUAGGUCAUCUACUUGACAUGAUUUUUAAUGUGACAACAUCUUUAAUCAUAUCAAAAAAAUGAUGUAUUAUUUUUCAUUCAUUAAAAUUUUGUCCCAUUGAGUUUUAUUUAAUAAGAUUUCAAAUAGGCAUAAUGAUCGAUAAAUAUUCAAGUGGAAGUGGAUAUUUAUGGAACAGAUGUCUAUAUGUUUAUAGAAUAG